Molecule: long non-coding RNA, 2246 nt
Organism: Populus nigra (black poplar)
Lineage: Eukaryota; Viridiplantae; Streptophyta; Magnoliopsida; Malpighiales; Salicaceae
Exons: 3
Source: RefSeq, a predicted model, not a curated record
AGAGAUCCUAUUCCCUUUAAUCCUGUUUCACCCUUUUAUUUUAGUCAGAAGACUUAACAGAGGCCAAAAAAAAAUAAAAAAUGGAGCCUUUUGUUCUUGAUGGAAUCAUUAAUAGGUUGCUUGAAGUUGGGGGAAACCAGGUUCAGCUUUCCGAGGCUGAAAUUAGGCAACUUUGCAUCACUUCGAGGGAGAUUUUCUUGAAGCAGCCCAAUCUUCUAGAGCUUGAAGCUCCUAUCAAGAUUUGUGUCAAAGCAGAUCGUCAAUUCAAAGUGGAUUUGUUAUGUAUAUAUUGAUUGGAAUUUGAACUGGUAGUGAUCAAGGCUUAUGUGAAACUGCCUGAACUCUGUUCUUUAUGGGAAUGUGAUGACAUUUUUUGACAUUGGUGUUGAGAUGUGCUUUAUGGAUAAAAGUGAUUAUGAAAUAUGCAGGCAAGCGAUAUGAAAAAUAGCUAAGAUGACCAUGGAUGAGAAUCCACAAUGUUCUUUCCAAAUACUGAGACCCGCAGCGAAGAAGCCAAAAUUUGGUGUUGGGAGCACUGUUACAGCCAAGAGUGGCACCAUUCCACAUAAAAUCAAGGUAUAUGCAGUCCACCCUCCUCCUAGUAUACAUACCUGUUAUUUUAUUUACAAAUAAUAUUCCAAAAGGGUUUUAGGUGGUUGUUUUGGAGAACCAUGGUCAUUUGUUAGUGUAGGUCUUAGUGGAGGUUUCAUUGCCAGGGGAAUUCCUUCUCAUCGUUUAUCCUUUCCUUUUCCCUAGAAGUAAGAAAAAUCAGAUUAGAAGGUUUAUUGAUUCUUGAUAAUUAAGUUCACUGGCUUGGAGUCUUUCUAACAUUAAAGCCUUCAUCUUCAUCUACAGCACAGAAGGUCAAAAAGAUGCUGUGAAAAGAUUCCGAUAAUUGAUUUUUCGAUUAAUGCUUUCAUCAGCACUGUUGGACGUUCACGUAUGUGCUUUAUGUUGAGGUUUUAGUUAGUCUUGGUUGUGAGUGGCAGUAUCUAGAUAUAGCACCUAGGAAUCAUUAAAAGUUACCUGGUGUUUCCUCAACUCUGCCUUAUAAUGCCUUCUCCAAGUGAUAUAGUGCUUGAAAACUGGUCAAUUAGUUUUUCGAUAAGCAUCACAUACGAGUAUUCCAUGCACAUAAUGAUAUUUAAUAUUGAUUACACCCAAAAUAAACAUCUCCCAUUGAGCAGAUGUGAGUUGGUUGAUUCUUAUGAAAGAGAGUGAUCAAGAUAAGAAAGUUUCAGGGAGAAGCUGCGAAGCAUCGACCAGCACAUAUGGGAACUUCUAAUCUACUGAUUACGAGACUUGUUAAUGAAAUGGAACGUGCGAUGUGGCAGAAAAAAUUCAUGGAAGAUUCCUAAAGUAAUUUAGCGUUAUUAAAACAGAAGUUUAGGUCAUUAGUUUCAUAAAAUAGAGAGCUCCUCUCAUCUCAUUUUAAUUCUCCAGGCAGACCCCCAUACGCGGUUUUAAUUCAAUUCAUCUUAAAGCUUUUAUUUUCUUUCUUGACUACCUUUUGAGCUUAACAGCAAACCUUUCUAUCUUGAACACUGAAUAAGAGAUAACUUGCCCGGGUGAUGAACAAGCACUUCUGUUUUUGUUUUUUGACAACAUGGAUUAGAAGUUUGUUUUGUAAAACCUGCAGUGAUUAUGUAAUUAUUGACGAAUAUUGUAAUAGGAGAGAAAACUAGAAAAAACACAAGAUUUAAACCAUGAACUACAGACAUGACUCUAGUACGUCCCAAAGGCGGGUGUUGGUCUGUCAAGGAUGGAAAUAAAUGCCCCCAUCUAGACGAUAAAUAGAUAAAUAAAUGGGUUUCUUGCGGGCAUUUGCCAGCUUCAACAAGAGAUGCACCUGCCACGCAGGGGAAUAGAAGAAGGCUUAUCUCUUCUAUUACACGAAUAGUGGUAGCAUAUAUCUGCAAAGUUGACCGUUAUCCCAUUGCAUAAAUUAGAUUAGAAUGGCCCAUUGUACCUACCAAACAUUAACAAUGAUCUUAAAGAGUGGGUUCUCUUUCAAGUCUUAACCUUUUCAAUGGCGUGUUAUAGUGCGCAAGUGGAAAUCUAGUGUGAGAUUUUGACAUUGAUCUUUUGGACAGUUAAUUUAUUCUUCAUUAUCUUAGAUCGCUUGUGGGGCUAUGACAGUUCUAUUUGAAAUUAUUGUGGCCCAAAAUCCACUUUUGUUACUUCAAAUUUGGGAAUCCAUGAAUUACAUCAUGGGGGAUUGAAAUUCGAGGUCUCUUUGAGGCGAU